Molecule: unclassified non-coding RNA, 1192 nt
Filed under: Bombus terrestris (buff-tailed bumblebee)
Lineage: Eukaryota; Metazoa; Arthropoda; Insecta; Hymenoptera; Apidae
Description: misc RNA ENSBTSG00005022604.1
Source: RNAcentral
AAUAACUUAGGAGAUACAAAGACAAUUUUUUAACAACAUAGCAGUCCUUUCUAUACAGCAGUCAUUAUUAUAAAAGUGAUUUCAACGUCUCGGAAUAAAAUUAUUACCAUGGACAAUAGCGAGUCCUGAUCUGAAACCGAUCGAGAACCUAUGAGAAAUAGCAAGAAAUGUUUACGGUCGAGAGAAGUCACCUACAGAAAAUGCCGUGGAACUUAAGAAAGAAAUAGAACCUGCGUGGACGAAUAUUGAAACUUUAAAUAAAAUUGUAGAUAGUGUAUCGAACAGAUUCAUAGAAGUAAUCAAAAAUAAAGGAAAAUCUACUAAUCAUCGAAUGGAAAGUUUCAGAGGCAAGCAGAUGGAUCAUAGCUACGAUAAACCCUCAAAACGUCCAAUCUCGCGACUAUAUCCCCGUCGAAGCUUUCGAUCGGACCAAUCCGGACGUCAGUCAAAGUCAAGAGUCGAAAAGGCAGGCUGACGUUUCCAAGACCCUGACAUGUAGACAGACAGAACCGGUCGAUGAACGUACGAAUUCAGGCUCAGGUAGCGGCGCACCGUAUCGCGUUACACGGUUAUGGAGCGAUCGAGAAGUCUGCAAUGGGUUACCGUGCGUGGGCGUACCAGUACAGAAUGCUUCAAAGCUGAUGAGUUUAAUUGUCCCAUCUCUUUUCAUCGUUUCGUAUCUUUUGUUAAUUCCUUUCAGUUUGUAUAUCUUUGAUGAAACGCUAUUGGAUCGGGAAUAUGAGUCCUUGCAAAACGUAACGUAAAUAAGCUUCGUAAUAUUUAUGACAGACAAUGUACGUGACGAUGAUAGCAAACACGCGAAGAAUUUUUUUUAAUCGUAGAAAGACAAACAAUCUCUCUAAACUGUCCUAUCUUCACCAAUUUAUAAACUGAGAAGCUUUAAACCCUUUGAGUGCUGAAUACUCGCGGCCUAUGCCGUCCGUACGGACGGCGCGCGUCUAGCGCUGACGAUCGCUGUGGACGGAAUACUUUUUCGUUAGACUGAACUCUGUUGAUUGACUAUUCAAAGCGCAAAUCGUAAUAAGUUAUAGUAAUUCUUUUGCACGAGAUUAAAUGAUUCAAGAGCGUUAUUUUUUAGUUAUUUUUAAUUAUUUAUUAUAAACAUUGAAAUUUACAGUUAACUAGAAUUUUUGUAAUAAACUAGAAAACAAUAAACUAGAAACCUAAAUUU